UACGUAGGGGGCAAGCGUUGUCCGGAUUUAUUGGGCGUAAAGAGCGUGUAGGCGGUCAGGUAGGUCCGUUGUGAAAUCCCGAGGCUCAACCUCGGGUCUGCAGUCGAUACGAGCAAACUAGAGUGUUGCAGGGGAGACUGGAAUUCCUGGUGUAGCGGUGAAAUGCGCAGAUAUCAGGAGGAACACCGGUGGCGAAGGCGGGUCUCUGGGCAACAACUGACGCUGAGGAGCGAAAGCGUGGGGAGCGAACAGG
This 253-nucleotide ribosomal RNA is filed under the name uncultured bacterium. Its description in RNAcentral is "partial 16S ribosomal RNA". It matches the Rfam family "Bacterial small subunit ribosomal RNA", at positions 524 to 776 of the family's 1533-position model. The record is from RNAcentral.